AAGACUGAGAGGAGGGAACUGGUGAGUUUUAAAUAGAAAUGCUUUCUAACUCCUUGUCUCCGUCUGUUU
Molecule: microRNA precursor, 69 nt
Organism: Cercocebus atys (sooty mangabey)
Lineage: Eukaryota; Metazoa; Chordata; Mammalia; Primates; Cercopithecidae
Source: Ensembl